Molecule: long non-coding RNA, 636 nt
Filed under: Cavia porcellus (domestic guinea pig)
Lineage: Eukaryota; Metazoa; Chordata; Mammalia; Rodentia; Caviidae
Description: lncRNA (ENSCPOG00000038907.1)
Source: RNAcentral
GGGACUGGUGCAGUUACUACCCCAAGAGGUAUACCUCGUACACAGGCAGGGAGCCCAGUGUGAAGCGGCCACACAAGGACUCCUCCCCGGCCAGGAAGGUCUGGGAGCCUCCACCCAGGUGAGGGAGCAGACUUACUUCCACAGCCCUUGCACAGAUGCCGCACCCCCUUUCCCUCUGCACCCCGAGGGCCACUCCCAGAAAAAAGCUGCCUUUGGAGCUGAUGACAGUGGCUGUGGUCUGUCUGAUCGGUUUUAUGAACACAAAAGCAUGAAGUCACACAAACGUAGAUAUGAGAGUGCAAAAAGUAAUGACAGUCAUGAGGAAAAGAAAGCCCACAGGAGCCUGCCCGAGACCUGGAGGAGCCUAAGGCGAAAAAGCACAAAAGGUCAAAGAAGAAGAAGAAAUCUAAAGACCAACGCCAGGAGCGUGACCACAGGCAUCAGCUGGAUCCAGAUGUUCUAGAAGUAUACUCUAAAGCUGACCUCUACAGACACAAAAAGAAGAAAAAGAAAAAGAAAAGGCACCCGAGGAACUCAGAAAACUCUGAAAAGCAGAACUGCACUCACUGAAGGCCUUAAGCUUUGGGACUGUUAACUAUUUCCAGAGACGCGAGGACAACUACCUGCUCACUGAUG